AAUCAACUAAGUGCAGUUUUUAUGUCUUUAUCCUCUAUAAAUUAUCUUUUUUGAAACAGUGAACGAUGAAAUGACAUGCGUUUGGAGAAUGUGUGGUGGAUACAAGAGCAUAUUAAUGUUAAACUCCAAAAAUAUUUUUAUCUCAAAGAUUGAAAACAAGAUAAAGAUGAAGGACUCUACAAAAUAGAAGUCAAUUGUGGAAGGAAAUGUCAUAUUCAACAUCUUAAUGAGGAAUAGGGUCGAGGAGUGAAAAGAAGACAGGAUUCAGUCAGAAGAGCUGAGUUCUGGUUCCUCCACAUAAUACCAUGGCUGUAGAAGUGACACAUAUUCUAAGCCUCAAUUUUUUGGCUGACUUUCCUCAUUCAUAAGGUUGUUGUGAAAAACAAAGCAAAACUAAUCAAUAUGAGUAAACUGCUAUGAAACACUGUCUAUUAUAUGUUUUCUUGAUAAACAUUUAUUGAGUGCUGUCUUUCAGUUGGUCUCCUGUGUUAGUAGCUUGUCAUACAGAGCUUCAAGAAGUCAAGCUUCAGGCCAUAGUCACAAAGAAUUCAGCUCUGAUUUGGAGAGAUAAAUAAGUACUUAGGGUGAGGUUGUGUACUAACAAACCCACUGUAAAGUCAAAAAAUUGUAAGCCAAACCGUCAAAAGUAAGAGACUGUAUAUGUAACUAUGUGUGUGUGUGUUGUUGUUUUUAAGAUGUGUUUUGGACAAACGAAAGUAAAAUCUCAUUUAAAAGAUUGAUUUUAAAAGCUUCCUCAAAGUUUUGUCAGUGCAUUAUUAGAGAUCCAGCCCAAUAUUUGUCAUCAUUUGUAUCUAUUAUUGCAGACAAUGAGAAUAAAUGUUUAC
RNAcentral lists this long non-coding RNA (845 nucleotides) under Homo sapiens (human). RNAcentral's name for it is "HSALNT0358114". Lineage: Eukaryota; Metazoa; Chordata; Mammalia; Primates; Hominidae. The record is from RNAcentral.